UACGUAGGGGGCAAGCGUUAUCCGGAAUUAUUGGGCGUAAAGCGUCCGCAGGUGGCACCUCAAGUCUGCUGUCAAAGACCGGGGCUUAACCCCAGAAAGGCAGUGGAAACUGAAGUGCUAGAGUGCAGUAGGGGUAGAGGGAAUUCCCGGUGUAGCGGUGAAAUGCGUAGAGAUCGGGAAGAACAUCGGUGGCGAAAGCGCUCUGCUGGACUGCAACUGACACUCAGGGACGAAAGCUAGGGGAGCGAAUGGG
Molecule: ribosomal RNA, 253 nt
Filed under: uncultured bacterium
Lineage: Bacteria
Description: partial 16S ribosomal RNA
Rfam family: Bacterial small subunit ribosomal RNA
Source: RNAcentral